UAUUUUAUUGUUAAAUAAAAUAAAGAUUUGAAAAUAAUAUAAAAUAUUUAGUUGAGGGCUGUUUUGAUAUUUUAGAUAGUUUUGGGGGAGAAAGUGAGAUAAGAUAAGUAAUUAGAAAAAGAUAUAAAUAGGAGAAGACCUAAUAUUUUAGAAACUCAUUGUACGUGAAAACUUUUGGAAGAAGGGAGAAAAGCCAAGUCUAGAGGAAUCAAGGUAGAGUGCUGCGAUUUUCUUCAUUCAAGGUAAGGGUGAGACUAGUAAUUCAAUAGCAUUGAUUGUUGUAAUUCUGAUGAUUAAUUGACA
This 303-nucleotide long non-coding RNA is filed under the name Medicago truncatula (barrel medic). RNAcentral describes it as "long non-coding RNA (MTRU_LNC001717)". Lineage: Eukaryota; Viridiplantae; Streptophyta; Magnoliopsida; Fabales; Fabaceae. The record is from RNAcentral.